UACGGAGGGAGCUAGCGUUGUUCGGAAUUACUGGGCGUAAAGCGCACGUAGGCGGCGCAGCAAGUCAGGGGUGAAAUCCCGGGGCUCAACCCCGGAACUGCCUCUGAAACUGCAGUGCUAGAAUCUUGGAGAGGCGAGUGGAAUUCCGAGUGUAGAGGUGAAAUUCGUAGAUAUUCGGAAGAACACCAGUGGCGAAGGCGACUCGCUGGACAAGUAUUGACGCUGAGGUGCGAAAGCGUGGGGAGCAAACAGG
This 253-nucleotide ribosomal RNA is filed under the name uncultured bacterium. RNAcentral's name for it is "partial 16S ribosomal RNA". It matches the Rfam family "Bacterial small subunit ribosomal RNA", at positions 524 to 776 of the family's 1533-position model. The record is from RNAcentral.